RNAcentral lists this unclassified non-coding RNA (207 nucleotides) under uncultured fungus. RNAcentral's name for it is "sequence contains ITS1". The record is from RNAcentral. Lineage: Eukaryota; Fungi.
UUAACUAUUAUAUAGUACUCAGACAGUAUAGACAAACAGAGUUUAGGUCCUCUGGCAGACGCUCGCCGGCCGGAGCCAGCAGCCCGGAGGCAGGCCUGCCAAAGCAACAAAGGUGUAAUAAACAAAGGGUGGUAUAGAGGACCCCGGCCCGGAAAGGGCCGGGGGACUAUAACUUUAAUGAUCCUUCCGCAGGUUCACCUACGGAAA